GAUGAAGAACGUAGUGAAAUGCGAUAAGUAAUGUGAAUUGCAGAAUUCAGUGAAUCAUCGAAUCUUUGAACGCACCUUGCGCUCUUUGGUAUUCCGAAGAGCAUGCCUGUUUGAGUGUCAUGAAAAUAUCAACCUUGACUUGGGUUUUGUGCUCUAGUCUCGGCUUGGAAUUGGGUGCUUGCCGCUUUAACGAGCGGCUCACCUUAAAUGUAUUAGCUGGAUCUGUCUUUGAGACUUGGUUUGACUUGGCGUAAUAAGUAUUUCGCUAAGGACAUUCUUCGGAGUGGCCUCGUUUCUAGGACGCUUGUCCGCUUUCCAAUACAAGUUCCACCUCGUGGACAUGACUUUUUAUUAUCUGGCCUCAAAUCAGGUAGGACUACCCGCUGAACUUAAGCAUAUCAAUAAGCGGAGGA
RNAcentral lists this unclassified non-coding RNA (413 nucleotides) under soil metagenome. Its description in RNAcentral is "partial contains 5.8S ribosomal RNA, internal transcribed spacer 2, and large subunit ribosomal RNA". The stretch from base 1 to 120 matches the Rfam family "5.8S ribosomal RNA", at positions 35 to 154 of the family's 154-position model. The record is from RNAcentral.